GGACAACCUGCCCUCGGGAGGGGGAUAACCCCGGGAAACUGGGGCUAAACCCCCAUAGGUGAUGGAUACUGGAAUGUUCCAUCACCGAAAGUCCGCAAGGAGCCCGAGGAUGGGUCUGCGGCGGAUUAGGUAGUUGGUGGGGUAACGGCCCACCAAGCCUAAGAUCCGUACGGGCCAUGGGAGUGGGAGCCCGGAGAUGGACCCUGAGACAAGGGUCCAGGCCCUACGGGGCGCAGCAGGCGCGAAACCUCCGCAAUGCGGGAAACCGCGACGGGGUCAGCCGGAGUGCCGAUGCUUGCAUCGGCUGUCGGGGAGCCUAAAAAGCUCCCCAUAGCAAGGGCCGGGCAAGGCCGGUGGCAGCCGCCGCGGUAAUACCGGCGGCCCGAGUGGCGGCCACUAUUAUUGGGCUUAAAGCGUCCGUAGCCGGGUUGGUUAGUCUCCCGGGAAAUCUGGCCGCUUAACGGUCAGAAUUCCGGGAGAUACUGCCAGCCUAGGGACCGGGAGAGGCCGAGGGUAUUCCCGGAGUAGGGGUGAAAUCCUAUAAUCCCGGGAGGACCACCUGUGGCGAAGGCGCUCGGCUGGAACGGGUCCGACGGUGAGGGACGAAGGCCAGGGGAGCAAACCGGAUUAGAUACCCGGGUAGUCCUGGCUGUAAACGAUGCGGACUUUGUGUCGGACAAGCUAUGAGCUUGUCCGGUG
Molecule: ribosomal RNA, 699 nt
Filed under: uncultured archaeon
Lineage: Archaea
Description: bacterial SSU rRNA
Rfam family: Archaeal small subunit ribosomal RNA
Source: RNAcentral